This 1956-nucleotide ribosomal RNA is filed under the name human gut metagenome. RNAcentral describes it as "bacterial LSU rRNA". It matches the Rfam family "Bacterial large subunit ribosomal RNA", at positions 872 to 2841 of the family's 2925-position model. The record is from RNAcentral.
AGGGCUAGCGUCGGAUAUGAGUAGUGGAGGUAGAGCACUGAAUGGGCUAGGGGGCAUAGCGCUUACCGAACCUUAUCAAACUCCGAAUGCCACAUACUAUUAGUCCGGCAGUCAGACUGCGAAAGAUAAGUUCCGUAGUCAAAAGGGAAACAGCCCAGAUCGUCAGCUAAGGUCCCAAAGUGUAAGUUAAGUGGGAAAGGAUGUGAGAUUUCUAAGACAACUAGGAUGUUGGCUUAGAAGCAGCCAUUCAUUAAAAGAGUGCGUAAUAGCUCACUAGUCGAGAGAUCUUGCGCCGAAAAUGUAACGGGGCUAAACUUACCACCGAAGCUACGGGCUUGAACUUAGUUCAAGCGGUAGGAGAGCGUCGUAACCGGGCUGAAGUCGUACCGUAAGGAGCGGUGGACUGGUUACGAGUGAGAAUGUUGGCAUCAGUAGCGAGAUGUGGGUGAGAAUCCCACAGGCCGAAAACCUAAGGUUUCCUCAGGAAGGUUCGUCCGCUGAGGGUUAGUCGGGACCUAAGCCGAGGCCGAAAGGCGUAGGUGAUGGACAACUGGUUGAUAUUCCAGUACCACUACCAUCGUUAUUAUCGAUGGCGUGACGCAGGAGGAUAGUGUGUGCUAGCUAUUGGAUGCUAGUCUAAGCGUUUAGGCAGUGAGAGUAGGCAAAUCCGCUCUCAUAAUGCUGAGGCGUGAUGGGGAAGGUUCUACGGAACCGAAGUACAUGAUUCCACGCUGCCAAGAAAAGCGUCUAGAGAGAGAAGUAGUGCCCGUACCGCAAACCGACACAGGUAGGUGAGGAGAGAAUCCUAAGGCCGGCGGAAGAAUUACAGUUAAGGAACUCGGCAAAUUGACCCCGUAAGUUCGCGAGAAGGGGUGCCUACGAGAGUAGGCCGCAGAGAAUAGGCCCAAGCAACUGUUUAGCAAAAACACAGGUCUCUGCUAAAGCGAAAGCUGAUGUAUAGGGGCUGACGCCUGCCCGGUGCUGGAAGGUUAAGGGGAACACUUAGCGCAAGCGAAGGUGUGAACUUAAGCCCCAGUAAACGGCGGCCGUAACUAUAACGGUCCUAAGGUAGCGAAAUUCCUUGUCAGGUAAGUUCUGACCCGCACGAAUGGCGUAAUGACUUGGGCACUGUCUCAACUGUAAAUCCGGCGAAGUUGUAGUGCGAGUGAAGAUGCUCGCUACCCGCGAUUGGACGGAAAGACCCCGUAGAGCUUUACUGUAGCUUAGCAUUGAGUUUUGGUAUUGUCUGUACAGGAUAGGUGGGAGACUAGGAAACCAGGGCGUCAGCCUUGGUGGAGUCAACCUUGGGAUACCACCCUGACAGUACUGAAAUUCUAACUGGCGGCCAUGAAUCUGGUCACAGGACAUUGUUAGGUGGGCAGUUUGACUGGGGCGGUCGCCUCCUAAAAAGUAACGGAGGCGCCCAAAGGUUCCCUCAGAACGGUCGGAAAUCGUUCGAAGAGUGCAAAGGCAGAAGGGAGCCUGACUGCGACACCCACAAGUGGAGCAGGGACGAAAGUCGGGCUUAGUGAUCCGGUGGUACCUCGUGGGAGGGCCAUCGCUCAACGGAUAAAAGCUACCUCGGGGAUAACAGGCUGAUCUCCCCCAAGAGUCCACAUCGACGGGGAGGUUUGGCACCUCGAUGUCGGCUCGUCGCAUCCUGGGGCUGAAGUAGGUCCCAAGGGUUGGGCUGUUCGCCCAUUAAAGCGGCACGCGAGCUGGGUUCAGAACGUCGUGAGACAGUUCGGUCCCUAUCCGUCGCGGGCGUAGGAAAUUUGAGAGGAGCUGUCCUUAGUACGAGAGGACCGGGAUGGACUGACCUCUGGUGCACCAGUUGUUCCGCCAGGAGCACAGCUGGGUAGCUAAGUCGGGAAGGGAUAAACGCUGAAAGCAUCUAAGCGUGAAGCCCACCUCAAGAUGAGAUUUCCCAUAGCAUAAGCUAGUAAGACCCCUUGA